GUUUUGUUUAUAAAUAUUUCUCUAAUUUUUAUGCUAUUUUCACAUUUCCUGACCGGUGUGAGAAAAAUAUUUCUCCUCACUAGUGAAAAAUCUGUUCUCGGCAAAUGAUUAGUCGAAAUUUGAUUAUGACGUCAAAAUGUUUUGUUUUCUUCUCAAUUUUCCUAUUGUGACGUCAUGAAAAAAGGCGACCUUGCCUGAUGACGUCGCAUAUAAAGAGCACAAUUUUCUGAAAAUCUUUGAAAAAGAACGAUAAAAAGCAUUAGAGAAACAGAUUCCGACACUAUAACUCGUGUAUUACGAUAUUUCUCCACUCUCGACAGUUAAAUUUUAUUAUUUAAAGGACUCGGCAAGCCUCGUGCUUUAAAUAAUAAAAUUUAACUGUCUCGAGUGGAGAAAUAUCGUAAUACACUUGUUGCAGUGUAAGAAUCUAUAUGUAAUCAA
This 441-nucleotide long non-coding RNA is filed under the name Mytilus galloprovincialis (Mediterranean mussel). Lineage: Eukaryota; Metazoa; Mollusca; Bivalvia; Mytilida; Mytilidae. The record is from RNAcentral.